This 312-nucleotide ribosomal RNA is filed under the name uncultured eukaryote. RNAcentral describes it as "SSU rRNA". It matches the Rfam family "Eukaryotic small subunit ribosomal RNA", at positions 587 to 972 of the family's 1831-position model. The record is from RNAcentral.
AGCUCCAAUAGCGUAUAUUAAAGUUGUUGCGGUUAAAAAGCUCGUAGUUGGAUCUGCGGACUUGGAGAACGGUCGCCUAAUUGGUGUACUGUUUUCCUGUCCUAUCAUCUCUAGUUUACCUUAGGUGCGCUUCACUGUGUGUCUAGGAUGGCUAGAUGGAAUAGGACCUCGGUUCUAUUUUGUUGGUUUUCGGAGCAUGAGGUAAUGAUUAAGAGGGACAGACGGGGGCAUUCAUAUUGCGACUUUAGAGGUGAAAUUCUUGGAUUGUCGCAAGAUGAACAACUGCGAAAGCAUUUGCCAAGAAUGUUUUCA